RNAcentral lists this ribosomal RNA (254 nucleotides) under uncultured bacterium. Its description in RNAcentral is "partial 16S ribosomal RNA". It matches the Rfam family "Bacterial small subunit ribosomal RNA", at positions 524 to 776 of the family's 1533-position model. The record is from RNAcentral.
UACGGGGGGAGCAAGCGUUGUUCGGAUUUACUGGGCGUAAAGGGCGCGUAGGCGGUCGUGACAAGUCACUUGUGAAAUCUCCGGGCUUAACUCGGAACGGUCAAGUGAUACUGUCGGACUAGAGUACAGAAGGGGCAACUGGAAUUCUCGGUGUAGCGGUGAAAUGCGUAGAUAUCAGGAGGAACACCGGUGGUGUAGACGGCUUUCUGGACCGUAACUGACGCUGAGACACGAAAGCGUGGGUAGCAAACAGG